Ochotona curzoniae (black-lipped pika) is the source of this 1490-nucleotide long non-coding RNA. RefSeq lists it as uncharacterized. The record is from RefSeq and is a predicted model, not a curated record. The transcript has 2 exons. NCBI's taxonomy places the organism in Eukaryota, Metazoa, Chordata, Mammalia, Lagomorpha, Ochotonidae.
GGCUCACUCCCACACAGCUGCAGUGGCCAGACCAGCGCCAGGAGCCCGCAGCUCCAUCCAGACCUCCCACCUGGUGGCAGGUGGGCUGUGUUACAUUGUAUCAAAGCAGGAGUGGUCACUCCUAUAUGCCUCCAGGUGUAUCAUUAGGGAGUUGAAUCAGAAGUGGAACCACUGGGACCUGAACCGACACUCAUCGUGUUGUUGUUAUAGGCGGCUUAACACGCUGAGCCACCGCACAGGCCCUGGGAUACAGCGACCUUCAGCGCUGAUGGAAAUGUUCUAAAGUUGCCUCUGGUGGAAUCAGCCACGGAGGUAGCCGAAUCAUGCAGCGUGUGCAUCAAGGCCAGACCACACGCCCACAGGUUCCGGUUCCUGAGAUCCCCAAUGCUGGAGACCCUGACGUGUCUGAGGACAACCUGAGACAAAGUCAUGGGCUGCUUGCUGACGCCAAAAGCCAUGUACGUCCCUCCAUUCCACACCUGCAGUGGCUGCUGUGGCCUGGUCUGGGGAGGCCUGAGGUGCCGACUCUGCCAACCGAAAAGCCUCAGUGGGCCCCACCCCAGCCUGCCGCCAGCCCAGCACACCACUCCCACGGCAGGUGCUGGUCAAGGAUCUCAGCCUGCCAUGGCGUGUGCUGGCAGGCCUUUCAGCCUUCCCCCGCCCGCUGGGCAGCCUGCGCAGCAACAGGUGCUAGCACAAGCAAAAUAUAUCCUUAAAAUGUUUAAAUUUCCAUAUCCUGUGCAGCCUGGGCAGUUCCACCCCAGCUCAUUAGCAUUUCCAUUUCCUGAUCUUUGCUGUUAGGAGUGUUCAUGUAACACUUGAGUGGCUCUCCAUAAAAUAAAGUGCAUCCGUGUAGGCCCCCAGCGUGUGGUCCCCUGCAUGGAGGCUGUAGGAUGCUGGCAGGGUCCUCUGGGUCGCGGUGCCUGGCCGGUGACCUGUUCAGACUGUCCCUACACUAGGGACAAGGUGCAUGGAGCGUUUUACCCACUCACACCUCCUGCUGUUGGGUGACACCCCUCUGUUCCUGUUUGCUCACGGGGAGAGGAAAUGUGGAUGUGGCUGGCUGAGAGGUGAUCAGGCAGAGUCCUGCUGUGUGGCCAGCACCCCGCAGAGCUCUCACCCUUGGCCACCUAAUACAGUAGCCCAGGGAAGAUGACAAUGGAGCCAGAGGACUGUGGUGGGGCUGGAAGGGUAGGAUGCAAAGUUCUAGAGUGAUAAGGUUGGACACUUGGCUGCAAGUCUGCUGGGCCCUGCCUGAAAGGGCCUCCUUCACGGCCACACCUACAGCAGCUGAGAUGGGAGAGGGAAACAGCUGUACCAGGAGGCAGUGGCCUCAGCUGGAAACCACCCGAGAGCUGUCCGCUGCCUGGACAUGCUGGCCAAGUGCCGUUCCCUUUGGUGCCUGCCAACAGGGACGAUGCCUUGGCCGGUGCAGACACAGCCCUGUCAGAAGGGACCCUGGUCACUGGGAGUGGGCCUGGCUAGACAGG